RNAcentral lists this ribosomal RNA (99 nucleotides) under uncultured eukaryote. RNAcentral describes it as "partial small subunit ribosomal RNA". The record is from RNAcentral.
UCGCUCCUACCGAUUUGAGUGAUCCGGUGAGCCUUUUGGACCGAGGCUGCUUCGGCAGUUUUGGAAAAUCAAGCAAACCACAUCACUUAGAGGAAGGAG